RNAcentral lists this ribosomal RNA (450 nucleotides) under uncultured bacterium. RNAcentral describes it as "partial 16S ribosomal RNA". It matches the Rfam family "Bacterial small subunit ribosomal RNA", at positions 354 to 796 of the family's 1533-position model. The record is from RNAcentral.
GUGGGGAAUCUUCCGCAAUGGACGAAAGUCUGACGGAGCAACGCCGCGUGAGUGAUGAAGGUCUUCGGAUUGUAAAGCUCUGUUAAUCGGGACGAAAGAGCCUAGUGUGAAUGAUGCUAGGAAGUGACGGUACCGGAAUAGAAAGCCACGGCUAACUACGUGCCAGCAGCCGCGGUAAUACGUAGGUGGCAAGCGUUGUCCGGAAUUAUUGGGCGUAAAGCGCGCGCAGGCGGAUCUGCCAGUCUGUCUUAAAAGUUCGGGGCUUAACCCCGUGAUGGGAUGGAAACUACAGAUCUAGAGUAUCGGAGAGGAAAGUGGAAUUCCUAGUGUAGCGGUGAAAUGCGUAGAUAUUAGGAAGAACACCAGUGGCGAAGGCGACUUUCUGGACGAAAACUGACGCUGAGGCGCGAAAGCCAGGGGAGCGAACGGGAUUAGAUACCCUGGUAGUCC